RNAcentral lists this ribosomal RNA (251 nucleotides) under uncultured bacterium. Its description in RNAcentral is "partial 16S ribosomal RNA". It matches the Rfam family "Bacterial small subunit ribosomal RNA", at positions 104 to 339 of the family's 1533-position model. The record is from RNAcentral.
GGGUGAGUAAUGCAUGGGUAACCUACCCUUGAGAUCGGGACAACCUGCUGAAAAGCGGGCUAAUACCGGAUAAGACCACAGCAUCCUCGGAUGCAGGGGUCAAAGAUGCCCUCUCCAUGGAAGGUAUCACUUAAGGAUGGGCUCAUGUCCCAUCAGCUUGUUGGUAGGGUAAAAGCCUACCAAGGCUAAGACGGGUAGCUGGUCUGAGAGGACGAUCAGCCACACUGGAACUGAGACACGGUCCAGACUCC